Molecule: ribosomal RNA, 1020 nt
Filed under: Streptomyces mirabilis
Lineage: Bacteria; Bacillati; Actinomycetota; Actinomycetes; Kitasatosporales; Streptomycetaceae
Description: partial 23S ribosomal RNA
Source: RNAcentral
GAGAGGAAACAGCCCAGAGCAUCGACUAAGGCCCUUAAGCGUACGCUAAGUGGGAAAGGAUGUGGAGUCGCAGAGACAACCAGGAGGUUGGCUUAGAAGCAGCCACCCUUGAAAGAGUGCGUAAUAGCUCACUGGUCUAGUGAUUCCGCGCCGACAAUGUAGCGGGGCUCAAGCGUACCGCCGAAGUCGUGUCAUUGCAGCAAUACGCCCAACGGCGGCUGUGAUGGGUAGGGGAGCGUCGUGUGCCGGGUGAAGCCGCGCCGGAAGGCAGUGGUGGACGGUUCACGAGUGAGAAUGCAGGCAUGAGUAGCGAUACACACGUGAGAAACGUGUGCGCCGAUUGACUAAGGGUUCCUGGGUCAAGCUGAUCUGCCCAGGGUAAGUCGGGACCUAAGGCGAGGCCGACAGGCGUAGUCGAUGGAUAACCGGUUGAUAUUCCGGUACCCGCUGUGAAGCGUCAAACAUUGAACCAGGCGAUGCUAAGUCCGUGAAGCCGCCCCGGAGCCUUCGGGCAAAGGGGAGUGGUGGAGCCGACGGACCAGACCUGCAGUAGGUGAGUGAUGGGGUGACGCAGGAAGGUAGUCCAUCCCGGGCGGUGGUUGUCCCGGGGUAAGGGUGUAGGCCGUGUGAUAGGUAAAUCCGUCGCACAUCAAGGCUGAGACCUGAUGCCGAGCCGAUUGUGGUGAAGUGGAUGAUCCUAUGCUGUCGAGAAAAGCCUCUAGCGAGUUUCAUGGCGGCCCGUACCCUAAACCGACUCAGGUGGUCAGGUAGAGAAUACCGAGGCGUUCGGGUGAACUAUGGUUAAGGAACUCGGCAAAAUGCCCCCGUAACUUCGGGAGAAGGGGGGCCAUCACYGGUGAGAGGAUUUACUCCUUGAGCUGGGGGUGGCCGCAGAGACCAGCGAGAAGCGACUGUUUACUAAAAACACAGGUCCGUGCGAAGCCGUAAGGCGAUGUAUACGGACUGACGCCUGCCCGGUGCUGGAACGUUAAGGGGACCGGUUAGUCACUCUUCGGGGUG